This is a long non-coding RNA of Dunckerocampus dactyliophorus (ringed pipefish), 940 nucleotides long. RefSeq lists it as uncharacterized. The record is from RefSeq and is a predicted model, not a curated record. Lineage: Eukaryota; Metazoa; Chordata; Actinopteri; Syngnathiformes; Syngnathidae. The transcript has 4 exons.
CUAUGUUGUGACUUGCAGAAAGCCUCCGAUUUCUGGCAGCCGUCUGCUUGCUCUCUCUUUCUCUGGAUCUGACCGUGGCUGGUUUACGGACGUCCUUCCCGUGGAGCUCGAUGCAUGGAUGUCCCGGCGGUGAUGCUGGUCCUUGCCGCUUCCACUGGGCUCAGUCAAAUGCGCGCUCCCUCUCAGUGGCUCAGUUGCAGUGGGGAAUGUGAGGAUAAACACAGAGUGAUGCUCCACUCGCUCUCGCUCUCUAUGGUGAGCUGAGACGACCCCCACCCACUUCUCUCUCUCGCUCUCUCCCUCUCUCUUUCUCAGGCUGUCAGCUGCUCACUCAGACUACCUCUUCACGCUGUCGCUCUCUCCCACUGCCAUCUCACCAUCUUGUUUUCUCAUUUCUCCAUUGAUUUCUCUGCUACUUUCUCCCUCUCUCUUCAUUGAUUUACCACAUGGGUGGCACAGCCAGUGCAGCCUCUAGUGGCUCCCUCCAUGAUGCUCAGGGUCUAAAAUGUUCACAUGAAGGAGUGGAGCAGGGGCCCCUUGAAAAAAUCACCUUGCAGCUGUUGUCACCGCAUCUCUACAACCUUAACUGACCCAACAAGAGCUUUACGUAACUCCAACUCUGAAGCCAUUCAAAGGUGCACUUGCUGGUGUGUUUUGGAUCAUUGUCCUGCUGCAGAACCCAUGUUGGUUUCAGCUUGAGGUCACAAACAGAGAUGGACGCACAUGGUUCCAUUUAUCACAGCAAGUCUCCCAGAUCUUGUGCAGGUUCACGGCCAAGACCAGGGAUGUUGGGCUCAAAAAGCUCUUCCAUGGGGGCUGAGCGCCUGACUUGCAAUUGUCUGCUUGAGGCAGUGUUUUUCUUAGCAUGAGCAACCACAACUCAACUGUGAGAAUGUAAGUUCAUCAACAGUGGAACACGCUUAUUAAUAUUUGUUUUCAA